ACCAAGCUGACGAGUCCCAAAUUGGGCGAUACGUGCGUCCUGGAU
This 45-nucleotide non-coding RNA is filed under the name Schistosoma margrebowiei. Lineage: Eukaryota; Metazoa; Platyhelminthes; Trematoda; Strigeidida; Schistosomatidae. The record is from RNAcentral.